AGGGAGUUGAGGAGGCCAGUGGAGAAAGAGGGCAUCACAUUGACAACUUGGCCAGAAAUCUGGACACUGUAAGGGAGGAUUUAGUGCUGGGUCGUGCCCUGGGCUGAAUUUAUCGCUGCUUGCCUUGUUAACUCGCCUCAUGUUUAAAGUCAAAACUGCCAUAGGCUCUGAGGGAUUUCCAUCUUUGUCAUUUGUAUGAUCUGCCUCAAAAUACAACCUCCCAAGUAAGGAGCAUGAUUCCCCUCCUGCCAGGAAGAAGAAAGCAGAGAAUUGAGGGAUGCCGAAAUCGAUUUUUAAAGGGUUUGGGUUUGGGGCGGUUCCGGAUGAGGCUCUGUGCGCUAAGUGAGCGAGACGGGGAGGUGGGAGAGGACUGAGCGCUAUGGAAAGGUGGUGGGGACGCAGGUGAGGGCGACGCGGGGAAGCGCAUGGUCCUGGGGCCCGCAGACGGGACGGAGCAGCCGCGGCCCGCAGACGGGACGGAGCAGCCAGCGCCGCUUGUCGGGGCUUGUGGUUGCGAACAUAGAGUGGAAAGAGGAUUCUGCGCUCUGCUCCCGCCCCGGGAGAUUAAGAGUCAACCCUACCAUGCAGCCACGUUUUGCCAGUUCCAGGUAAGUAGGAAAGACUGACUCCCUAGCACAGAUAAUGUUACAAAUGAGGUGCGCUGCGAAGCCAGGAAGCACAGCACCCUUUCGUGUCUAGGCAGCCGGGAGCCCAGGAAUGCACCCGAAAGGCGGGGAGUCAAGGUCCCCCACCGCUUCUCCAGCGCCAGGAGGCCGCAAUUUGUAAGGCGAAAUUAAAAAUGCACCACGUGUCGGCCCGGAGGCUAACGAUGUUUAUACAGACAUACCACACCGAGGGAACCGGCCCAUCAUUCCGCACUGGGCGCGGAGAAGAGGGGGUGAGGGCGCGGCCGGCCCGCCCCUCCCCCGCCGCCUUCCUGCGCCGCAACCUGGACUUGACCCCCGCGAGCCUGGCUCGGCGCGUCCGGGGCCGCCCAGCCGGAGCCGGGCGCUGAGACCGGCGGCCCGGGCCGGCGUCGCUGCGCGC
This 1047-nucleotide long non-coding RNA is filed under the name Homo sapiens (human). Its description in RNAcentral is "HSALNT0393338". Lineage: Eukaryota; Metazoa; Chordata; Mammalia; Primates; Hominidae. The record is from RNAcentral.